AAACUUUCAACAACGGAUCUCUUGGUUCUGGCAUCGAUGAAGAACGCAGCGAAAUGCGAUAAGUAAUGUGAAUUGCAGAAUUCAGUGAAUCAUCGAAUCUUUGAACGCACAUUGCGCCCCUUGGUAUUCCGGGGGGCAUGCCUGUU
RNAcentral lists this ribosomal RNA (146 nucleotides) under Stictis sp. 2-MW-2004. Its description in RNAcentral is "5.8S ribosomal RNA". It matches the Rfam family "5.8S ribosomal RNA". From Rfam's summary of the family: 5.8S ribosomal RNA (5.8S rRNA) is a component of the large subunit of the eukaryotic ribosome. It is transcribed by RNA polymerase I as part of the 45S precursor that also contains 18S and 28S rRNA. Functionally, it is thought that 5.8S rRNA may be involved in ribosome translocation. RNAcentral also lists the same sequence under 1 other name. The record is from RNAcentral. Lineage: Eukaryota; Fungi; Ascomycota; Lecanoromycetes; Ostropales; Stictidaceae.